This 1933-nucleotide long non-coding RNA is filed under the name Nicotiana benthamiana. RNAcentral describes it as "long non-coding RNA (NBEN_LNC005608)". The record is from RNAcentral. Lineage: Eukaryota; Viridiplantae; Streptophyta; Magnoliopsida; Solanales; Solanaceae.
CAACUUCCUGUUUACUUCACAUGAUACAGGACCCUUCUCUGAAGAGGCCUCUGGAUCUUGGUAAAGAGGAAGCUGGCCUAUACAAACUGUCUUGGGUGCUAUCUUCCCCCUCUUCCUCUCCUGGUUCUUCUUUUACUUCUGUGUGUGCUUUGUCUGGUUUUUGUAAUGAUGACAAUGUGUCUGAGAGCAAAAUUCUUGCCUUGUUAUCCAAUUGUAAAUAAUUCCGUUUGUAAUAAUGCUGUUACCAGUGAUAUGAAUUACAUUUGGCAUUUAAGACUAGCACAUACUCCUUUGCAAAUAUGAGACAUAUUUCUGGUUUGUCUUUUCCACUUACUUUUACAUAACUUUUUCCUUGUUCUGUCGGCCCUAUGGCCAAACAAACUAGACUCCCUUUUCCUGACAGCAGUAUCAAUACUACCAGACCAUUCCAACUAAUACAUGUGGAUACUUGGGGGCCUUACCACACUUCUACUUCUUCGGGUUAUAAAUACUUCCUUACUAUAGUUGAUGACUUUUCGAGGGCAACCUGGACACACUUAAUGGGAUCCAAAAGAAAUGCUUUUUCCCUGCUUAAGUCUUUCAUCUGUUUUGUUAAAACUCAGUUUAACACUGUAGUUCAAACUGUUAGAAGUGACAAUGCCUUAGAAUUGGGAUCCAGCAUUGAGGGCAUAUCUUUCUUUAGUAUCCAGGGGAUUAUUCAUCAAACCUCCUGCCCUCAUUCACCUCAGCAGAAUGGUGUUGUUGAAAGAAAGCACAGAACCCUUCUUGAAACAUGUAGAGCCUUGCUUUUUCAAUCUGGCCUACCUGUGUCUUUCUGUGGGGAUUGUCUGUUGACUGCUACUUAUCUCCUUUAUGUAGAGCCUUGCUUUUUCAAUCUGACCUACCUGUGUCUUUCUGGGGGGUUGUCUAUUGACUGCCACUUAUCUUCUUAACAAAAUACCUUCAAGAAUUCUUCACAAUAAGUCUCCUCAUGAAAUUUUGUAUGGGAAAGCACCUUCCUAUUCUCAUUUGAGGGCAUUUGGGUGCCUUGCUUAUGCUGUUGUCCCUAUUCCUUAAAGGGACAAGCUGAAGCCUAGAGCCCUCUCUUGUGUUUUUCUGGGUUACCCCUUUGCCGUUAUGCUGCUGUCCCUAUUCCUCAAAGGGACAAGCUAAAGCCUACCCCUUUGCCAAAAAGGGUUAUAAACUGUAUGAUCUGGUUUCCAAGAAGUGUUUUGCCUCCAGGGAUGUUGUCUUCCAUGAAACUUGUUUUCCUUUUAAGAAUAAACCUUCUUCUGCUCAAAGUGUUUUGUCUCCAGGGAUGUUGUCUUCCAUGAAACUUGUUUUUCUUUUAAGAAUAAACCUUCUUCUGCUCACCCUUCUCCUUCAUCUUUUCCUUCCAUUCCUCCUGCUGAACAUUUCCCUGACAGAGAUUUUCCUCUCCAUGCUUCAUCCCCUCCAUCUGAUUCUCCUGUUCCUGCCUUUACUGAUGCUGCUCCAUCUUCCCUUCCUUCUUUCAAUCCUGAUGUCUCACCCCCUGUUUUACCUCCUUCACACUCCAGUCCUGCUCCUAGAAAGUCCACUAGACAGCAUAAUCCUCCUUUCUAUCUUAAGGAUUAUGUCUGCCAACUCCCUGCAUUUUCUGGUUCCUCUUCUUCUACUUUGGAAUCUGAACCUUUGUAUUGCUCUCAAGCUGCAUCUGUCCCAGCAUAGCAGGAUGCCAUGAGACAGGAGUUUGAUGCCUUGGAAGCUAACCAUACCUGGGAUGUUGUUCCUCUUCCUCAUGGUAAGAAACCCAUUGGCUGUAAAUGGGUCUACAAAAUCAAAUACAAGGCUGAUAGUACUGUUGAAAGGAAUAAAGCUAGGCUGGUUAUUAGGGGUGAUACUCAAGUUGAAGGGAUUGAUUUUACUGACACCUUUUCUCCUGUGAUUAAGAUGACCACUGUGAAAUGUCUUA